AUUGACGGAAGGGCACCACCAGGAGUGGAGCCUGCGCCUUAAUUUGACUCAACACGGGGAAACUUACCAGGUCCAGACACAAGAGGGAUUGACAGAUUGACAGCUCUUUUUUGAUUCUGUGGGUGGUGGUGCAUGGCCGUUCUUGGUUGGUGGCGUGGUUUGUCUGGUUUAUUCCGAUAACGAACGAGACCUUAACCUGCCAAAUAGUUACAUGUAAUUACGGUUGUGUGGACAACUUCUUGAAGGGACUGUGUGUGCCUAGCACGAGCAAGUGUGAAGCAAUAACAGGUCUGUGAUGCCCUUAGAUGUUCUGGGCUGCACACGUGCUGCACUGAUGCAGCCAGAGAGUGUCCUAUCUUCCCUGGAGAGGUUGGUCAAUCUGCCAACCUGUGUCGUGAUGGGGAUGAAUCAUUGCAACUAUUGCUCCUGAAUUCCUAGCAAAAGCAGGUCAUCAACUUGCAUUGAUUGUGUUCCUGCCCUUUGUACACACAGCCCGUCGCUCCUAGCGAUUGAGUGGUCCGGUGAAAAGCUUGGACCUGCUGUAGCAUCCAGUCGUGGAGCAGCACAGCCAGAAAUUCAGUGAACCUUAUCACUUAGAGGAAGGAGAAGUCGUAACAAGGUUUCUGUAGGUGAACCUGCAGAAGGAUCA
RNAcentral lists this ribosomal RNA (649 nucleotides) under Gambierdiscus sp. GT_O. RNAcentral's name for it is "bacterial SSU rRNA". It matches the Rfam family "Eukaryotic small subunit ribosomal RNA", at positions 1152 to 1828 of the family's 1831-position model. Lineage: Eukaryota; Dinophyceae; Gonyaulacales; Pyrocystaceae. The record is from RNAcentral.